RNAcentral lists this ribosomal RNA (493 nucleotides) under uncultured bacterium. RNAcentral describes it as "bacterial SSU rRNA". It matches the Rfam family "Bacterial small subunit ribosomal RNA", at positions 234 to 722 of the family's 1533-position model. The record is from RNAcentral.
AAGUGGAUUAGCUAGUUGGUGAGGUAAUGGCUCACCAAGGCGACGAUCCCUAGCUGGUYUGAGAGGAUGAUCAGCCACACUGGAACUGAGACACGGUCCAGACUCUACGGAGGCAGCAGUGGGAAUAUUGCACAAUGGGCGAAAGCCUGAUGCAGCCAUGCCGCGUGUAUGAAGAAGGCUUCGGGUUGUAAAGUACUUUCAGUUGUGAGGAAGGGUGUGUAGUUAAWWCCUSCRCAUCUUGACGUUAGCAACAGAAGAAGCACCGGCUAACUCCGUGCCAGCAGCCGCGGUAAUACGGAGGGUGCGAGCGUUAAUCGGAAUUACUGGGCGUAAAGCGCAUGCAGGUGGUUCAUUAAGUCAGAUGUGAAAGCCCGGGGCUCAACCUCGGAACUGCAUUUGAAACUGGUGAACUAGAGUGCUGUAGAGGGGGGUAGAAUUUCAGGUGUAGCGGUGAAAUGCGUAGAGAUCUGAAGGAAUACCAGUGGCGAAAGGC